UUGAAGGUAAAUUGAUUAUGUUUGGAUACACUUUAAUAGAAGUGAUUCUAAUGAGUUGAUGUUGUUUGGAUAG
This 73-nucleotide microRNA precursor is filed under the name Medicago truncatula (barrel medic). RNAcentral describes it as "MIR5272 microRNA precursor family". It matches the Rfam family "MIR5272 microRNA precursor family". Lineage: Eukaryota; Viridiplantae; Streptophyta; Magnoliopsida; Fabales; Fabaceae. The record is from Rfam by way of RNAcentral.